This 440-nucleotide ribosomal RNA is filed under the name uncultured bacterium. Its description in RNAcentral is "bacterial SSU rRNA". It matches the Rfam family "Bacterial small subunit ribosomal RNA", at positions 954 to 1392 of the family's 1533-position model. The record is from RNAcentral.
GCAGAACGCGAAGAACCUUACCCACACUUGACAUACCUCUUGGGGCUUUCAGAGAUGAUUGCUUUCGGUUCGGCCGGGGAGAGUACAGGUGCUGCAUGGCUGUCGUCAGCUCGUGUCGUGAGAUGUUGGGUUGAGUCCCGCAACGAGCGCAACCCUUAUCGUAUGUUGCCAGCAUUUAGUUGGGCACUCAUGCGAGACUGCCGGUGACAAGCCGGAGGAAGGCGGGGACGACGUCAAGUCAUCAUGGCCCUUACGUGUGGGGCUAGAAACGUGCUACAAUGGCGGUGACAAUGGGCAGCGAGAUCGUGAGGUCAAGCUAAUCCCAAAAAGCCGUCUCAGUUCAGAUUGUAGUCUGCAACUCGACUACAUGAAGUUGGAAUCGCUAGUAAUCGCAAAUCAGCAUGUUGCGGUGAAUACGUUCCCGGGUCUUGUACACACCG